UUGAUCCUGGCUCAGGACGAACGCUGGCGGCGUGCUUAACACAUGCAAGUCGAGCGGUAAGGCCCUUCGGGGUACACGAGCGGCGAACGGGUGAGUAACACGUGGGUGAUCUGCCUCGUACUCUGGGAUAAGCCUGGGAAACUGGGUCUAAUACCGGAUAUGACCACGAGUCGCAUGGUUUGUGGUGGAAAGAUUUAUCGGUGCGAGAUGGGCCCGCGGCCUAUCAGCUUGUUGGUGGGGUAAUGGCCUACCAAGGCGACGACGGGUAGCCGGCCUGAGAGGGCGACCGGCCACACUGGGACUGAGACACGGCCCAGACUCCUACGGGAGGCAGCAGUGGGGAAUAUUGCACAAUGGGCGGAAGCCUGAUGCAGCGACGCCGCGUGCGGGAUGACGGCCUUCGGGUUGUAAACCGCUUUCGACAGGGACGAAGCGUGAGUGACGGUACCUGUAGAAGAAGCACCGGCCAACUACGUGCCAGCAGC
RNAcentral lists this ribosomal RNA (485 nucleotides) under Nocardia sp. 13-446. RNAcentral describes it as "bacterial SSU rRNA". It matches the Rfam family "Bacterial small subunit ribosomal RNA", at positions 13 to 515 of the family's 1533-position model. Lineage: Bacteria; Bacillati; Actinomycetota; Actinomycetes; Mycobacteriales; Nocardiaceae. The record is from RNAcentral.